Molecule: long non-coding RNA, 292 nt
Filed under: Crocodylus porosus (Australian saltwater crocodile)
Lineage: Eukaryota; Metazoa; Chordata; Crocodylia; Crocodylidae
Description: lncRNA (ENSCPRG00005006688.1)
Source: RNAcentral
CUGAUGUUCUCACCCUCCACAGAGUUGAUACCAAGCUCUGUGCGACUGAUGCCUGGAGCUUUACUACAGGACACCCAAGGACUGCUGGAAAGGGACUACUGUUUUACCUUUUCCUGUGAGCACUGGCUAUUUUUACUUCUGAAAAGGCAUCUCUUUCCAUCAGAACAGACACUAUCAUCCCUGGUCUCUCUCACAGCUCCCUCUUCCUCUUGUUGACAUUGCCCCCAAACCAUUUCCACACUGGAAGCAGCUUUACACAGUUUGGCAACAGCUUGCGAGAGGUGAGAGAACA